This 68-nucleotide transfer RNA is filed under the name Cerceris bucculata. RNAcentral describes it as "tRNA-Tyr". Lineage: Eukaryota; Metazoa; Arthropoda; Insecta; Hymenoptera; Crabronidae. The record is from RNAcentral.
AGUAUUAUGUCUGAUUUAAGUAAUAAAUUGUAAAUUUAUUUAAGAAAUUGAAAUAAUUUCUAAUACUA